This 279-nucleotide ribosomal RNA is filed under the name uncultured archaeon. Its description in RNAcentral is "partial 16S rRNA". It matches the Rfam family "Archaeal small subunit ribosomal RNA", at positions 1047 to 1325 of the family's 1478-position model. The record is from RNAcentral.
GAGACCCACGCCCACAGUUGCCAGCGUACUCUCCGGAGUGACGGGUACACUGUGGGGACCGCCGCUGCUAAAGCGGAGGAAGGAAUGGGCAACGGUAGGUCAGUAUGCCCCGAAUAUCCCGGGCUACACGCGGGCUACAAUGGUUGGUACAAUGGGUAUCUACCCUGAAAGGGGAUGGAAAUCUCCUAACGCCAAUCUUAGUUCGGAUUGAGGGCUGCAACUCGCCCUCAUGAAGCUGGAAUCCGUAGUAAUCGCACUUCAACAGAGUGCGGUGAAUAC